RNAcentral lists this long non-coding RNA (1682 nucleotides) under Salmo salar (Atlantic salmon). RNAcentral's name for it is "lncRNA (ENSSSAG00000115528.1)". The record is from RNAcentral. Lineage: Eukaryota; Metazoa; Chordata; Actinopteri; Salmoniformes; Salmonidae.
CUUCCUUACAUUGAUGCUGAUUCAUAUUGAUCAGCCUAGUCAAUAUGUAUCAAUGUUAUAUUAUAGGCUACAGGGCUAUGAGGUAGGGUAUGGGGUUAUAUUAUAGUCUACAGGGCUAUGAGGUAGGGUAUGGGGUUAUAUUAUAGUCUACAGGGCUAUGAGGUAGGGUAUGGGGUUAUAUUAUAGUCUACAGGGCUGUGAGGUAGGGUAUGGGGUUAUAUUAUAGGCUACAGGGCUAUGAGGUAGGGUAUGGGGUUAUAUUAUAGUCUACAGGGUUAUGAGGUAGGGUAUGGGGUUAUAUUAUAGUCUACAGGGCUAUGAGGUAGGGUAUGGGGUUAUAUUAUAGUCUACAGGGCUGUGAGGUAGGGUAUGGGGUUAUAUUAUAGUCUACAGGGUUAUGAGGUAGGGUAUGGGGUUAUAUUAUAGUCUACAGGGUUAUGAGGUAGGGUAUGGGGUUAUAUUAUAGUCUACAGGGUUAUGAGGUAGGGUAUGGGGUUAUAUUAUAGUCUACAGGGUAAUGAGGUAGGGUAUGGGGUUAUAUUAUAGUCUACAGGGUUAUGAGGUAGGGUAUGGGGUUAUAUUAUAGUCUACAGGGCUAUGAGGUAGGGUAUGGGGUUAUAUUAUAGUCUACAGGGCUAUGAGGUAGGGUAUGGGGUUAUAUUAUAGUCUACAGGGCUAUGGGGUAGGGUAUGGGGUUAUAUUAUAGUCUACAGGGUUGUGAGGUAGGGUAUGGGGUUAUAUUAUAGUCUACAGGGCUAUGAGGUAGGGUAUGGGGUUAUAUUAUAGGCUACAGGGCUAUGAGGUAGGGUAUGGGGUUAUAUUAUAGUCUACAGGGCUAUGAGGUAGGGUAUGGGGUUAUAUUAUAGUCUACAGGGCUAUGAGGUAGGGUAUGGGGUUAUAUUAUAGGCUACAGGGUUAUGAGGUAGGGUAUGGGGUUAUAUUAUAGUCUACAGGGCUAUGAGGUAGGGUAUGGGGUUAUAUUAUAGUCUACAGGGCUAUGAGGUAGGGUAUGGGGUUAUAUUAUAGUCUACAGGGUUAUGAGGUAGGGUAUGGGGUUAUAUUAUAGUCUACAGGGCUAUGAGGUAGGGUAUGGGGUUAUAUUAUAGUGUACAGGGCUAUGAGGUAGGGUAUGGGGUUAUAUUAUAGGCUACAGGGUUAUGAGGUAGGGUAUGGGGUUAUAUUAUAUUCUACAGAGCUAUGAGGUAGGGUAUGGGGUUAUAUUAUAGGCUACAGGGCUAUGAGGUAGGGUAUGGGGUUAUAUUAUAGGCUACAGGGUUAUGAGGUAGGGUAUGGGGUUAUAUUAUAGUCUAUGGGGUUAUGAGGUAGGGUAUGGGGUUAUAUUAUAGUCUACAGGGCUAUGAGGUAGGGUAUGGGGUUAUAUUAUAGUCUACAGGGUUAUGAGGUAGGGUAUGGGGUUAUAUUAUAGGCUACAGGGCUAUGAGGUAGGGUAUGGGGUUAUAUUAUAGGCUACAGGGUUAUGAGGUAGGGUAUGGGGUUAUAUUAUAGUCUACAGGGCUAUGAGGUAGGGUAUGGGGUUAUAUUAUAGUCUAUGGGGUUAUGAGGUAGGGUAUGGGGUUAUAUUAUAGUCUACAGGGCUAUGAGGUAGGGUAUGGGGUUAUAUUAUAGUCUACAGGGUUAUGAGGUAGGGUAUGGGGUUAUAUUAUAGGCUACAGGGUUAUGAG